UAUGGCUCAGAUUGAACGCUGGCGGCGUGCUUAACACAUGCAAGUCGCGCGUGAAAGGACUUCGGUCCGAGUAAAGCGGCGCACGGGUGAGUAACGCGUGGAUGAUCUACCCAUGAGUUGGGAAUAACGGCUGGAAACGGUCGCUAAUACCGAAUACGCUCCGAUUUCAUCUUCGGGGGAAAGGUGGCCUCUGCUUGCAAGCUACUGCUCAUGGAUGAGUCCGCGUCCCAUUAGCUAGUUGGUGGGGUAACGGCCCACCAAGGCGACGAUGGGUAGCCGGUCUGAGAGGAUGACCGGCCACACUGGGACUGGAACACGGCCCAGACUCCUACGGGAGGCAGCAGUGGGGAAUAUUGCGCAAUGGGCGAAAGCCUGACGCAGCGACGCCGCGUGAAGGGGAUGAAGGUCCUCGGAUCGUAAACCUCUGUCAGGAGGGAAGAACCGCCACGGUGCUAAUCAGCCGUGGUCUGACGGUACCUCCAAAGGAAGCACCGGCUAACUCCGUGCCAGCCGCAGC
RNAcentral lists this ribosomal RNA (517 nucleotides) under uncultured bacterium. Its description in RNAcentral is "bacterial SSU rRNA". It matches the Rfam family "Bacterial small subunit ribosomal RNA", at positions 18 to 518 of the family's 1533-position model. The record is from RNAcentral.